AGUGAACGCUGGCGGUAGGCCUAACACAUGCAAGUCGAACGGCAGCACAGUAAGAGCUUGCUCUUACGGGUGGCGAGUGGCGGACGGGUGAGGAAUACAUCGGAAUCUACUUUUUCGUGGGGGAUAACGUAGGGAAACUUACGCUAAUACCGCAUACGACCUACGGGUGAAAGCAGGGGAUCUUCGGACCUUGCGCGAUUGAAUGAGCCGAUGUCGGAUUAGCUAGUUGGCGGGGUAAAGGCCCACCAAGGCGACGAUCCGUAGCUGGUCUGAGAGGAUGAUCAGCCACACUGGAACUGAGACACGGUCCAGACUCCUACGAGAGGCAGCAGUGGGGAAUAUUGGACAAUGGGCGCAAGCCUGAUCCAACCAUACCGCGUGGGUGAAGAAGGCCUUCGGGUUGUAAAGCCCUUUUGUUGGGAAAGAAAAGCAGCAGGUUAAUACCCCGCUGUUCUGACGGUACCCAAAGAAUAAGCACCGGCUAACUUCGUG
This 492-nucleotide ribosomal RNA is filed under the name uncultured bacterium. RNAcentral describes it as "partial 16S ribosomal RNA". It matches the Rfam family "Bacterial small subunit ribosomal RNA", at positions 29 to 507 of the family's 1533-position model. The record is from RNAcentral.